AACGAACGCUGGCGGCAUGCCUAACACAUGCAAGUCGAACGAGACCACCGGGUCUGCUGGCGCACGGGGGCGUAACGCGUGGGAACCUGCCCUUAUGUUCUGAAUAACACCCUGAAAUGGGGGCUAAUUCCGGAUAAUUUCUUCGGACAAAAGAUUCAUCGUGUUUGGAGGGGCGCGCGUUGUUUUAGCUUGUUGGUAGGGUAAAAGCCUACCAAGGCUAUGCUCCAUAGCUGGGCGGAGAGGAUGAUCAGCCACACUGGGACUGAGACACGGACCGGAAUCCUAGGGGAGGCAGGAGUGGGGAAUAUUGGACAAUGGGCGAAAGCCUGAUCGAGCAAGGCCGCGUGAGUGAUGAAGGGCUUAGGGUUGUAAAGCUAUUUUAACCGGGGUGAUAAUGACAGUACCGGGAGAAUAAGCGCCGGCUAACUCCGUG
RNAcentral lists this ribosomal RNA (433 nucleotides) under uncultured bacterium. RNAcentral's name for it is "partial 16S ribosomal RNA". It matches the Rfam family "Bacterial small subunit ribosomal RNA", at positions 29 to 507 of the family's 1533-position model. The record is from RNAcentral.